UUCACCUGCUGAGGUUGAAGUGACAUGUUUUUACAUGUCACAGCAUAAAGGAGGACAAUACCAGUCUCCUCACAGUAACAUAUCCUUCAUUAACAUACAAAUGGGGACGACUUCUUCUGUGACCACACCAAGGACAUCUUCAGACAUUUCAGUAGACCCAAUUUCUACAAAGCUCAGCACUACAGGGACGACUUCUUCUGUGACCACACCAAGGACAUCUUCAG
Maylandia zebra (zebra mbuna) is the source of this 224-nucleotide non-coding RNA. Lineage: Eukaryota; Metazoa; Chordata; Actinopteri; Cichliformes; Cichlidae. The record is from RefSeq and is a predicted model, not a curated record.